UCGGACUUCUCUUGAACUGAAUUUUAAUGUGCGUAUUGUUAUGCUUUUACUUUUCUACAUUGGUUAGAGGUAUAGGGGGAGGGUUGAGAUCUCACAAACAUGUUUAACCCCGCCGCAUUUUUGCGCCUGUCCCAAGUCAGGAGCCUCUGGCCUUUGUUAGUCUUGUAUUAUUUUAAUUUUAGUUUCUUGUGUACAAUUUGGAAAUUAGUAUGGCGUUCAUUAUCACUAGACUAGUAUAUAUUUGUUUAGGGGCCAGCUGAAGGACGCCUCCGGGUGCGGGAAUUUCUCGCUACAUUGAAGACCUGUUGGUGAC
RNAcentral lists this long non-coding RNA (313 nucleotides) under Mytilus galloprovincialis (Mediterranean mussel). The record is from RNAcentral. Lineage: Eukaryota; Metazoa; Mollusca; Bivalvia; Mytilida; Mytilidae.